UACGAGAGGUCCAAGCGUUGUCCGGAUUAACUGGGCGUAAAGGGUGCGUAGGAGGUCGUGUUAGUCUUACUUGAAAGCUCCCGGCUCAACCGGGAAAACGGGUGGGAAACGGCACGACUCGAGGUCGCGAGAGGUACACGGAACUUAUGGUGGAGGGGUGAAAUCCGUAGAUAUCAUAGGGAACACCAAAGGCGAAGGCAGUGUACUGGCGCGCUCCUGACUCUGAAGCACGAAAGCGUGGGGAUCAAAAAGG
This 253-nucleotide ribosomal RNA is filed under the name uncultured bacterium. Its description in RNAcentral is "partial 16S ribosomal RNA". It matches the Rfam family "Bacterial small subunit ribosomal RNA", at positions 524 to 776 of the family's 1533-position model. The record is from RNAcentral.